AACGUAGGUGGCGAGCGUUAUCCGGAUUUACUGGGCGUAAAGGGUGUGCAGGCGGGCUGUUAAGUGGUGUAUGAAAUCGCCCGGCUCAACCGGGCUAGGUUAUGCCAGACUGGCAGUCUAGAGAGCGAGAGAGGGACGUGGAAUUCCCGGUGUAGCAGUGAAAUGCGUAGAGAUCGGGAGGAACAUCUGUGGCGAAGGCGACUGCCUGGACCAGCACUGACACUGAGGCACGAAAGCGUGGGGAGCAAACAGG
RNAcentral lists this ribosomal RNA (253 nucleotides) under uncultured bacterium. RNAcentral's name for it is "partial 16S ribosomal RNA". It matches the Rfam family "Bacterial small subunit ribosomal RNA", at positions 524 to 776 of the family's 1533-position model. The record is from RNAcentral.